RNAcentral lists this ribosomal RNA (254 nucleotides) under uncultured bacterium. RNAcentral's name for it is "partial 16S ribosomal RNA". It matches the Rfam family "Bacterial small subunit ribosomal RNA", at positions 524 to 776 of the family's 1533-position model. The record is from RNAcentral.
UACGUAGGGGGCGAGCGUUGUCCGAAGUUACUGGGCGUAAAGCGCGCGUAGGCGGUCAUUUAAGUCUGAGGUGAAAGGUUCAGCGCUCAACGUGAACAGUGCCUUGGAUACUGGGUGACUUGAGUUAGGGAGAGGGUAGCGGAAUUCCUGGUGUAGCGGUGAAAUGCGUAGAUAUCAGGAGGAACACCGGUGGCGAAGGCGGCUACCUGGCCUAUAACUGACGCUGAGGUGCGAAAGCGUGGGGAGCGAACGGG